CAAAGAAUAUGGUCUUUUCAAUGCGACUGGAAUUGUUAAUGAAUUGAGAAUUGUUGAUGGUGAAUUAAUGCAUUACAGAAAUCGUGUCACUUUCAGGAAGCAAAUAAUAUAAAAGGUCAAUUGGUUUGGAUUGGAUUGCCAUCAAUAGGUCAGUCCUGUGCUAUUGAAUUGCCUUGUUCUUUAAAAAACUCAAUGAUAUGUCUAGCUAGUUGCCCUCAAAUACAGGCAAAGCUGCACGGCAAAUGGUGAUCAACUUUGAGAAUAUUGACACUGCAUCUCUCAGUUCCAUUAAUUUAUCACCAAAUACAAGACUUCUGCAAAAAUGAAAAGCAUUGACAUAUUCUACCACACUGUAACUGCAUGUUGAUUACCACAUACUACAAUAAUGCUCAGUGAAACCAAAACAUUAUUACUUUAUAUUUUUAGACAUUUGUUAUUCUUUGCAUGAGCACAAAUGGAUAUUAAUAUUGUGACUUAAACCAGAGAUGGAUGAUCCAUUUGGAUGAACUUGAAGAUGAUCUCUCUGUGCAAUCCGGUCUCUGAAACACAUGGGAAUAUUACGUACAUCUGAAUGCCUUUGAAACCGUGUUUGAAAAGUAUUGUCCUCUGGAUAUGAAGAUAUUACAAUGGUGGGUAACAGUGUGACAUACACUGUGAUUAUAAAUGAUAAUAUGAUGGACACACAUAAAUUAAUUCAUUAACAGAUCGAACUCAAUUGGAUAUGAUAAACUGGUAAAAAUGUCCAUAUAAAACUGACUUACUGUAGCCAGAUUAAUCUGUAUUUGAACUUUGAGACCAUAGUUGAUUGACCAGCAUUCUAGCUUGGACCUUACUGGAUUAACCUGCAUAAUCUUCUAAUGGAUUAAACUGUGUAAUAACUGGUUUUUACAAGAUUAAUCUUCAUUAUAAAACAUUCUUGGAUGUAUGAACUUGCAUCAUGAGCUGCUGGCCUUCAACUACUGAAUGAACCUGUAUGGAAGCAAGACUGUACUGGAUUUGCAUAUAAACUGAAAGGAUUUUAACCUGGGACUUAGAGAUACAGCUACUUAAUAAUAUUACGUGGUGAAGAUCUGAAGAUAAUGAAGAAGACAACGACUUAUAUAAAUCAAAACUGCUGAUUGGAGUUUACCAUGGUGUUUAUCAACUGGACUAAAAUGAAUUUGGACAUUAAGUACUGUAAGUAUAAACAGGGAAUGAAACUGCUUAUAAAAAGUGCUAAAAUGAAAAUUCAGCAACAUUUUUGGAUAGGUUGGGGUCUGCUAGUAUUUCUAACACAAAAUUAUUCUGAAAAGCAAAUUUUCGGGUGCAUCACGCCUGUUUUUUAAAAUUACUUUAAAAAUGGCUUGUGCAGAAAAGGGUAUAUUUCAAAUGCAAUUUGAAUGCAUAGGGUGCAAAUUAAGAAUUGUGCAUGGGUUUUGUAGAUGGAAAUUCUAAAUGUGAAUUGUAUACAUUUGUGUGUAUGCACAUAAAAUUGUCUUGUUGCAUCCUAUGAAUUCAAAUUCUGUUUUAUGUUAAGCCAUUUUUAAAAUUGUUUCAAUUACUUUUCAGAAUAAUUUAAUGAUAGAGAUACAAAUUUUGCACAAUUACUGUAGUUUCUUUAGUUCUUCUUAAAGUUGUUAACAGUUAACAAGCCCACUUACAUGCACCUGCUUUGCAUGCUACAACCACAUGGGGCAUCUGCUUAGUAUAUUGCAUCGAAUUACAAAAGUUUUGAUAUUCAAAUUUAUUCAAAUAAACAUUUUGGAUAUUUCCAUUUUGCUUUUUAAAAGAAGAGAAUGGUUAACUAUUCACAGUUGUUAUGGGUAUGAAUACAGUAUUAUAGUAAAUUCCAUCUCUAAAUAUUUCUGUACAAAAUGCAUUUGUCCUAUAGGCUCUGUCAGGAUUAUCAAUCAUUACCCCAGAUAUGACCAACAUAAAAUCAGAAUAAUUUACUCAAACAUAUAUUUAUCUAGAUACACAUCCCAAGAAUAUGGUCUUUGUUUUCAAUGAACGAGAAUUGCCACUGGAAGACAGUUGAUGCUUAAUGCAUUAUAUUCAAAAAGCAAGAUAAUACAGUGUGAAAGGUCAAUUGGAUUGAAAUAUACAGUCAUCAAUAGGUUAGUGCUGUGUUAUUGAAUUGCUUUGUUCUUUAAUACACUCCUUCUCAACGCUCUGUCUAUUUGCCUUCAAAUACAGGCAAAGUGACACAGCAAGUGGUGGUCAAAUUUGAGCAUUUUGACACUGCAUCUCUCAGUUCCAUUAAUUUACCACUUCUACAUCAAUUGAAAAGAAUUGACAUUCUACCACUCUCGUAACUGCAUGGUGAUGUUGAUUACCACAUACUACACAAUAAUGCUCAGUAAAACCACAACAUUAUUACUUUAUAUUUUUAAACAUUUGUUAUUCCUUGUUAGCACACAUGGAUAUUAAUAUUGUGAUUUAAACCAGAGAUGGAUGAUCCAUUUGGACGAACUUGAAGAUGAUCUCUCUGUGCAAUCCGGUCUCUCAAUCACAUGGGAAUAUUACACACAUCUGAAUGCCUUUGAAACCGUGUUCAAUAGAGUAUUGUCAUCAUCGAUAAUGGAUAUGAAGAUAUUGCAAUGGUGGUUAGCUGUGAAAUACACUGAGAUUAUAAAUGAAAUAUGGACACACAUAAGAACUCAAUUGGAUAUUAUAAACUGGUAAAAAUUUCCAUAUAAAACUGACUUACUGUAGCUUGAUUAAUAUGUAUAUGAACUUGGAGACAGUAGUCGUUUGGACAGCAUUCUUGCUUGGACCUUACUGGAUUAGCCUGCAUAAUCUUCUAAUGGAUUAAACUGUGUGAUAACUGGUCUUUAUGAGAUUAACCUGCAUCAUGAAACAUUCUUGGCUGCAUGAACUUGCAUCAUAACUGCUGGCCUUUAAGUACUGAAUGAACCUGUAUAGCAAGGAAGAUUUUACUGGAUUUGCAUAUGAACUGAAUUUAACCUGGGACUGGAGAUACAGCUGCUUAGUAUCAUGCAGUGAAGAUCCAUUAUGAUAGGGCGAUGAAGAGGACAACUUAAAUAAAUCAAAACUUCUGAUUGGAGUUUCCCACAAUGUCAAUGUAUCAAUCCGACUAACCUGAAUUUGGCCAUUAAGUACUGUAAGUAUAAACAUGGAAAUUAAACUGCUUAUUAUAUAUCUGCUUAUAUAUUGGGACAAUUGACCAAGCCAACAGUAGAUAAGUGGGUCGGAAUAUUUUAAAGAAGAACCAAAAUAAGAAGUUGUAAACUUCUGAUAUUGAACUACUGCAAUGGCUUUGUAGGUUGCAUCGGUCUCAAAAUCACAAAUUCAAAUCUGAAUACUUAUUUAUAGUAUAUGAUUACAAAUCCAAUUCUAACCUACAUGUAUUUUGUUCACAAUUAGUUAUUUCCUAUAUUGCUCAUGUGAGGAUCACCCCAAAUAUCACCCAGACAUAAAAUCAAAAUAAUUUUCUCAAACAUUUCCCUAGGUAGACAUUCAGACUUGGAAGAACUGUCAUUUGCUUUAAAUGAACAAACAUCGAUGAUCAAGGGUUGUUCUUAAACAAUAAGUACAAAUAGGGAAAAUUCCUACAGAAUAUAUAAAUCGUUUUAGUUGUUUCCGUGAGCAUUAGGCAGCAGAUGGUGGUCAAUUUCAGAAUUUAGUAGUUAAAGUCAGGCAUGUAAUGUAUUAUUUUCUUAUUCUAAUACAUAGCUAUAGUUUGGCCACCAUCUGCUACAGGUUAAUGUUUAGUGAAACAUGGUUUCCCUACCCAUUACGCAGCAGAUCAAAUAAGAGUUAUGGUUGCAAAGAACUAUAAACUACAUGUUACAAUUUUACUUGUUUGGCUACCAAAUAAUGUGUAACUAAAUAUUACAUAAUGAAAGGAAUUAGCACCACAAUAACUUUCCAACUCUGGUAACUGCAUGUUGAGUGUUACAUACUGCUCGAUGGUGAAACAUGUUUACUUGAUAUUUUUAGACCUGUGAAAAGAUGAAAGUAUCUUACUGUGCAGACGUUUGCGGCGCAAGUGCCAUGGGAUGAUAUACGAGGUUGGAUGACUUGGAAGAGUAACAUUUCCCUCAUAAAAAACGUGAGUUAUUGAAUUGUUCUACACACAUGGUAAAGUCUUUAUACUUUCAAAAUGUUCUUGAAAAAGUCUUUAAUUAUUAACCAGAGAACUUUAACUGACAAGUUAUCCAGGCAACAAUAAGUUAAAAGAAGGAGGUAGUUAAGUCUAGCACUACUGCAAUUAAUCUAAUUAGACCAGCACAGCAAUUAGCCAAUUUUGUGAAUGUUGUCACUUGAUUAAUGACUCCUUUAAAAUCUUUAUUUAGAACAAAACCAGGUUUACCACAAGAGUGACAAGUGAAAGACUGUUGAAGUCAGGCAUGCAUAUUGAAGAUAACUGAACCAUAGAAAACGUGCUUUGCAGCACGUUACGAACACAUGUUCCAACAACUGUGGAUGGUAUUCUUGAAGAAUGAAGAUAUCGACACCGAAACGGCAAACCUGAUGCUGCAUAGAGAAGUAUGAUCUCAGAGAUAAAAAAUCUUUCAAUAGUUUAUUUUGCAUUUGUUGAAUGUAAAAUAUUUUCUUUAGGACAAGAUACAGUUGCAAAAGUACAAAAGACUAGAAGUGGAGCCAAAUGUGCAAACUGGAAAGCCAUCAGCUGAUCUGGUGUGAAGGCUGAGGAGCAAGGCGGUACUGCAUGAAGAGAACUCGGAUGUAGACAGGUCACGUAAGUAUUUACUAACUAUUUACUUUAUAUUUACCGCGCCGACAGAUGGGAGACAAGUGCCAUGAACGAUGAAUAUUCAAGAUUAGAUGAUUUGAAGGAGUAACAUUUUUCUCGUAAAAAAUGUGAGUUGUUAAAUUUAUUCAUAUGUUGCAAAACUGCUUUAUUUCUUAAGAAAAUGAAUGCAAAUAGUUGUGUUAUUUUAUUUUUGUUGUGAAAUUUCUUCCCUUUACCUUUUCCAGUGUGAACAUCACGUUAUCAACAGAGCUCAACUGAAUAUGGCAAAAGAUGUAGUUGGAACCAAUUUGACUGUGAUAAUAACCUCAAUUUGGAACUUGCAAAAGCAGCCACUUGUUGAGCACUGAGUGAACCUGUAUAUAUGCCAAAGCAAGAAUUCGCUGGAUCUGCACAAAUAUUGAAAGGAUUUUAACCUGCACUUGGACCUACACCAACCUAAUGUCAAGCUGUGAAGAUGCGACGAAUUGUGAAGAGGAAUUGAUGGAAAAACAUUCAGGUUUAUACUAUAGGUACCAUAGGUAUUGUAGGUGAUGUAGUUGAGUCUUGUAUCCAGAAUAAGUAAUUCAGUAUUCUGGAUCCAAGAUCUCCUGGUGGUCUCUGACGGAUGUAUUUACACAUUUUCUGUACUUUUCCCACCUUUUGGCAC
Non-coding RNA from Paramuricea clavata, 5363 nucleotides. Lineage: Eukaryota; Metazoa; Cnidaria; Anthozoa; Malacalcyonacea; Plexauridae. The record is from the annotation of a GenBank genome assembly.